RNAcentral lists this ribosomal RNA (460 nucleotides) under uncultured bacterium. Its description in RNAcentral is "partial 16S ribosomal RNA". It matches the Rfam family "Bacterial small subunit ribosomal RNA", at positions 338 to 795 of the family's 1533-position model. The record is from RNAcentral.
CCUACGGGCGGCAGCAGUGAGGAAUAUUGGUCAAUGGGCGCGAGCCUGAACCAGCCAAGUAGCGUGAAGGAUGACUGCCCUACGGGUUGUAAACUUCUUUUUUAAAGGAAUUAAGUGAGGCACGUGUGCCUUUUUGUAUGUACUUUAUGAAUACGGAUCGGCUAACUCCGUGCCAGCAGCCGCGGUAAUACGGAGGAUCCGAGCGUUAUCCGGAUUUAUUGGGUUUAAAGGGUGCGUAGAUGGGUUGUUAAGUCAGUUGUGAAAGUUUUCGGCUCAACCGUAAAAUUGCAAUUGAUACUGGCAGCCUUGAGUACAGUUGAGGUAGGCGGAAUUCGUGGUGUAGCGGUGAAAUGCGUAGAUAUCACGAAGAACACCGAUUGCGAAGGCAGCUUACUAAACUGCCACUGACAUUGAUGCUCGAAAGUGUGGGUAUCAAACAGGAUUAGAUACCCGGGUAGUC